This 627-nucleotide ribosomal RNA is filed under the name uncultured bacterium. Its description in RNAcentral is "bacterial SSU rRNA". The stretch from base 1 to 527 matches the Rfam family "Bacterial small subunit ribosomal RNA", at positions 338 to 873 of the family's 1533-position model. The record is from RNAcentral.
CCUACGGGAGGCAGCAGUGGGGAAUAUUGCACAAUGGGCGAAAGCCUGAUGCAGCGACGCCGCGUGAGGGAUGACGGCCUUCGGGUUGUAAACCUCUUUCAGCAGGGAAGAAGCGAAAGUGACGGUACCUGCAGAAGAAGCACCGGCUAACUACGUGCCAGCAGCCGCGGUAAUACGUAGGGUGCGAGCGUUGUCCGGAAUUAUUGGGCGUAAAGAGCUUGUAGGCGGUUUGUCGCGUCUGCCGUGAAAAUUCGAGGCUCAACCUCGAACUUGCGGUGGGUACGGGCAGACUAGAGUGUGGUAGGGGAGACUGGAAUUCCUGGUGUAGCGGUGAAAUGCGCAGAUAUCAGGAGGAACACCGAUGGCGAAGGCAGGUCUCUGGGCCACUACUGACGCUGAGAAGCGAAAGCAUGGGGAGCGAACAGGAUUAGAUACCCUGGUAGUCCAUGACGUAACGUUAGGUACGUAGGUGUGGUCGUCUACUCUACGAGAUCGUCGCCGCGAGCUACGACAGUUACGUUCCCGUCCGUCGGGAGGUACGGCCGGCGACGGUAACGUAAACGUACGUUAAGUUAGUAGUUAGUUACGGCGUUGAGACGNGCCGACGGACGACGACGAGGGAGGAGG